Molecule: ribosomal RNA, 468 nt
Filed under: uncultured bacterium
Lineage: Bacteria
Description: partial 16S ribosomal RNA
Rfam family: Bacterial small subunit ribosomal RNA
Source: RNAcentral
GACGAACGCUGGCGGCGUGCUUAACACAUGCAAGUCGAACGGAAAGGCCCUGCUUUUGUGGGGUGCUCGAGUGGCGAACGGGUGAGUAACACGUGAGUAAACUGCCCUUGACUUUGGGAUAACUUCAGGAAACUGGGGCUAAUACCGGAUAGGAGCUCCUGCUGCAUGGUGGGGGUUGGAAAGUUUCGGCGGUUGGGGAUGGACUCGCGGCUUAUCAGCUUGUUGGUGGGGUAGUGGCUUACCAAGGCUUUGAAGGGUAGCCGGCCUGAGAGGGUGACCGGCGACAUUGGGACUGAGAUACGGCCCAGACGCCUACGGGAGGCAGCAGUGGGGAAUAUUGCACAAUGGGCGGAAGCCUGAUGCAGCAACGCCGCGUGCGGGAUGACGGCCUUCUGGUUGUAAACCGCUUUCGCCUGUGACGAAGCGUGAGUGACGGUAAUGGGUAAAGAAGCACCGGCUAACUACGUG